RNAcentral lists this transfer RNA (50 nucleotides) under Oxyrrhis marina. RNAcentral's name for it is "partial tRNA". Lineage: Eukaryota; Dinophyceae; Oxyrrhinales; Oxyrrhinaceae. The record is from RNAcentral.
CGUGGCCUAGUGGUUAACACGUUGGGCUAAUAACCCAACGGUCGCAGGUU